GUGAAUUACCAUAGGGCCAUAA
This 22-nucleotide microRNA is filed under the name Callorhinchus milii (elephant shark). Its description in RNAcentral is "Cmi-Mir-96-P3-v2_3p* (star (passenger))". The record is from RNAcentral. RNAcentral also lists the same sequence under 10 other names. Lineage: Eukaryota; Metazoa; Chordata; Chondrichthyes; Chimaeriformes; Callorhinchidae.